RNAcentral lists this transfer RNA (87 nucleotides) under Candidatus Cloacimonadota bacterium. RNAcentral describes it as "tRNA-Leu". It matches the Rfam family "tRNA". Rfam says of the family: Transfer RNA (tRNA) molecules are approximately 80 nucleotides in length. Their secondary structure includes four short double-helical elements and three loops (D, anti-codon, and T loops). The record is from RNAcentral. Lineage: Bacteria; Pseudomonadati; Candidatus Cloacimonadota. RNAcentral also lists the same sequence under 1 other name.
GCGAAAGUGGCGGAACUGGUAGACGCGCUGGACUUAGAAUCCAGUGGCCGAAAGGUUGUAGGGGUUCGAAUCCCCUCUUUCGCACCA